CAGUCGAGCGAAUGGAUUAAGAGCUUGCUCUUAUGAAGUUAGCGGCGGACGGGUGAGUAACACGUGGGUAACCUGCCCAUAAGACUGGGAUAACUCCGGGAAACCGGGGCUAAUACCGGAUAACAUUUUGAACCGCAUGGUUCGAAAUUGAAAGGCGGCUUCGGCUGUCACUUAUGGAUGGACCCGCGUCGCAUUAGCUAGUUGGUGAGGUAACGGCUCACCAAGGCAACGAUGCGUAGCCGACCUGAGAGGGUGAUCGGCCACACUGGGACUGAGACACGGCCCAGACUCCUACGGGAGGCAGCAGUAGGGAAUCUUCCGCAAUGGACGAAAGUCUGACGGAGCAACGCCGCGUGAGUGAUGAAGGCUUUCGGGUCGUAAAACUCUGUUGUUAGGGAAGAACAAGUGCUAGUUGAAUAAGCUGGCACCUUGACGGUACCUAACCAGAAAGCCACGGCUAACUACGUGCCAGCAGCCGCGGUAAUACGUAGGUGGCAAGCGUUAUCCGGAAUUAUUGGGCGUAAAGCGCGCGCAGGUGGUUUCUUAAGUCUGAUGUGAAAGCCCACGGCU
RNAcentral lists this ribosomal RNA (570 nucleotides) under Bacillus sp. CH329b_11D. RNAcentral's name for it is "bacterial SSU rRNA". It matches the Rfam family "Bacterial small subunit ribosomal RNA", at positions 59 to 609 of the family's 1533-position model. The record is from RNAcentral. Lineage: Bacteria; Bacillati; Bacillota; Bacilli; Caryophanales; Bacillaceae.